GGGUAUGGAGGUAAAGCAUUCCAGUGAGCCUUGCUGACACCAGUGAGCCGUGCUGGGAAGUAGAGGCCUCACUAGCCCAUAAUUACAUUACCUAUUUUCAGUCUCAGUGAUCACAGAUGGGUAUAGAGAUUAGCUCUUCAUUGGGUCCCACUGACAUUAAAGACAAAAGCUAAAGACUACCGUAUCCUGUCUUUACCUUAUUAAGCCUUGUUGCUGCUUGGUAGAGAUUUAGGUUAAUUUUGUCACUGGACUGAGAUGAUAGUACCCUGGUAGGAAUAUUGAACUUUGCCUGCCUCUGCUGGACAUGGAAUUGAUGAUUACUUCUCCAACCCAUCCUGCUGAUAUUUGCCCCAGCAGAAGAAUCAGAAUAUUGCCUGGUUCCACCAAUCAGAGGACCAAAAAUCAACUACCUGCUCAGCCUUUUUAAUACCAUCUUGCAGGGGAAUAGGAAUUUUGUUUGGUUCUGCCUAGUGAGGGAUGUAAGAUUAUUGUCAACCUGCCUACACAGUUUUGAGAAUACUGCUUAGAUCUGGUAUGGAUCACCUUGACUAAAAGCUGAGGAGAGAGGGAGUCCUAUCUCUUUGACCACACCCCAUGCAGAAUGGAGUUACUGUCAUGCUGUGCUGAAAGAGAAGAAAGGGAGCAGGUUAUGGCACAACUUUAACUGUUCCUAAUGAGAUUCAGUAGAUUUUUUAAUAAAUCUGUAUUUACUAUAUUUCCAGAGGUUAAUUUCCAAACACUUUGAAUAAUUGUUUUUAAAAUAAUCUUUACCAGUUACAAUGGUUUUCAGGGGAGCAGGUCUGAGAAACUCUUUAUGUACUACUUUCUUCAUUAAAUCCUCCAAUGUGUUAUACAUUUAAAAAUCUGAUCAUCUUGCAUUCUUUUUUUUUAGUUCAAUCAUAACUCCUGUGAUGACAUAUCAUUAGCUGCAUGAUCUGAUAGAUAUAUGGCACCUUGAGUUAGAGGAUCAAAAAAGUACUUUCUUCAACAGGCCACCCAGAUAACUAUUUUACAUGGAGAAGUGAAGUUGGAUCAGAAAAGGCUGAGAAAACAAUUGGAUUUUGUCCUGUCAUAGCAGAAGGAACUAGAAGAUAUGCUGAUCCCUUUAGAGGAAUCUUUGAUGGAGCACUGUAGGUCUGUUUAUCUGAAAUAUGCAGAUGAGGAGCCUGAGAGGAAGUAAAUAACUAGGUAAAGAUCAAGGAAUGGAGCAGGACUUAGCUACUAAAAAAGGGGUGGGGGAUGAAAUCGAAAGGCCAGGAAUAAAAAUUGGUAGAAAAGGACAAGUUCUUGUAGUUGCCAUUUAUCAGCUUAUUUGAGUAUUUUCUGUUUAUCUUUUCAGGAUGCUUGAAAAUAAAGUAACAUUCUGGCAGUUUUGUUUUAGAGCAUUUUAUAGACUGCUAAUAAUUUCAAGUUUGGCAUGAAUUCUCCCUCCCAGAAGUAUGCCCUUGCCUCUCCCUUUCCCUCUUCUUCCCCCACAGGUAUGCAUCUCCUGAACUCUAAAAGGUCACAGGAGGCUUGCAACCAGGGGAGCAAUGGGCAGUGGCAGCUCAUCUCAGGCUAAUCUCCUGAACCUGUCUCUAAGACCCUUUUUUCUCUGAGCCUCCAGUGAGUUGACUGCAGCCUCACCUCAACUCAUUUCUUCCUCACAAUGUUUCUAGAGAGCCAGAGCAGCCCCACUUAGUCUCCUAUUGUUUCUUCUAUUCUAAGCCCUUCCUUGUUUCAGUGUCCCCAGCUUUAAUAAACAUAUAGUCAAAAUCAUCUGGACUCAUGUUGUUAAAUCUUUCUUGCACAAAGUCCAGAACCCAUACACUACAGGCAGUUUGAGGCAGACUCACUAUGGGACUGGUCCCUGUCUGGUAACGUUCUCUGGCAACUCAUAUGGGACCUUGUUUCCUGAAGCUACACAGCCCAGCUGGUUCACUUCUUAGACUAUCUCUGUACCUUUCAACUUUGGUGGUAACAACUGGUGCCAUUUCAGCAUCAACAUCACUGGUAACAUGGUGCUGUGACUUGGAUCACGUUAUUGCACUUCUUGAUCUCACUUUGGAAGCCCAUCUGCAUCCUCCUAAAAUGAGACUCAACAAUUUACUGAACUGACUUAUAUUCAGGACUAAAUAAUUGAGUCAAAGAAAUAUGGAGCAAUCUACCAACUUCACUUCUGGAAUGUAAACCUUUAUUAUUUAAAAGGCAGGAGUGAAGGCACCAAACUUCUGCCGCUUUGAAAUUGCUUUCCCUUUAAAAUUGGCCAAAAGGUUCAGACAAGAAAAACCUGCUUCUGGAAGAUCUUAGGAUAUUCCUCUUAGCCUAAUUUGAAUGAACUAUAGUACAACAAAGGGCUUCAGGCAGAUGACACACCUUUGUCCAGAAAAGCCCCUUCAUCUAAUCUGGGACACUGUAAAGUUGGUCCCUACUGCUGUCACCUGGUUCUUACCUAUCCUCAGACCUUUAGUUACUAUAAUUGUCCUUUUCACUAUUAUGUAAUGCCUUUCUAACCUGCUUGUCAAAUUUGUCAUCUCUAAAAUACAAAAAUUCCAUAUCAAGAUCAUGAUGUUUCAGGCACUAUGGCCCAUUUCUAACUUUAGAAGACUCAGCUAACAGCCUGUCUGUUCCAGUCUUGUAUCCCAUUCUUUUGUCUCCCUUAGAUCAGGCAGGAAGAAACUUCCUUAACCUACAUAAGCAGAGACCAUUGGCCUUGUCAGCAGGAAGCAGUUACAGAAGACAGACCCACUUCCCUCAUUACCCCUGAUAGAUUUUAGGAUGGAAGUCUCUGAUGGGAGAAUGAAGCAGGACAGUAAGAAACUAGGAAAAUUCCUUGGCAAGUAAAAUGGGGAAACUGAGACAGAUAGUUGAAGAAACUUGCCAAACACUUUACAGCCAGGUAAAGAAGGUCACCAGGGUGAAAAGCCCUGGGUGCCUGGCAAUAGUAAAAAAUAGUGCCAGACUUCGCCCCCAGGGUGGCCUUUCCUCUUCUGGCAUAUUGCUGGCCAUGUAGUUUAGACCCCCUCACCUUUCCUCCCUGGAGAUAACAUCUAGAUCUCAGUUAUAUUUCAGUUCCAGGCCCAGAAAAGCAUCAACACCAGGUGGGUGAUACUAGGACCAGCUGCAGUGACUAUGACCAAUCAGUGGAGACCACAACCCCGAAAAGAUACACCUGGAAAAGUUGAUGAAUAUUCUAUUGAGAUCCUUUCCUGAGACCUCCUCUAAACUCCCAGCCUUUAAAACCCUCAAGACAGAGGACCCAUCAUGCACUAUCCCUCCUGGAGAAUGCCUGUGUCGUUCCAUUCCCCCUCUUCUUCACCCAUAGGUGUGCAUCUCCUAAAGUCUAAGGUACCUCAGGAGACUUGCAGCCAGAGGAGAAAUGGACAGUGGCAGCUUGUCCUGGGUUAAUCCCCUGAACCUGUGCCAAAGGCUCCCUUUUCUCUGAUUCUCCAGUGAGCUGACAGCAGCCCUGCCUUGGCUUGCUUCUUUCCCAUAAUAUUUCUAGAGCCAAAGCAGCCAUGCAUAGGCUCUCUCCUGUUGCUUUUUCUAUCCUAAGUCCUUUUUCAUUUCACUGUUUCCAGCCUUAAUAUGUACUCUCAAAAUAAAAAAAAUCAUCUGUAUAUAUAAUCAGUGUAAAGUUUUUAUAUUCAUCAGGUUCUUAAAUUAGAAAUACAAAUUUUAUGUAUGUAUUUUAUGUAUGAGUUGUCAUAGUAUUGUAAGAUAUUUAUGGUCUAUUUAUAUUGACUUUUUAAAA
Molecule: long non-coding RNA, 3733 nt
Organism: Phyllostomus discolor (pale spear-nosed bat)
Lineage: Eukaryota; Metazoa; Chordata; Mammalia; Chiroptera; Phyllostomidae
Exons: 3
Source: RefSeq, a predicted model, not a curated record